UACAAGCAGUGGGAGCCCUACCACCAAAGCAUUCUCUGGUGUUGAAGGCCCUGCAAAGCAGCAUCGCGGUGGCGGAGCGUCGUUUGCGACGCCCAACACACAAAACAAGCGGUGAGUGCUUUGGGGUGGGGUGACUGCGUACCUUUUGUAUAAUGGGUCAGCGACUUAUAUUCUGUAGCAAGGUUAACCGAAUAGGGGAGCCGGAGGGAAACCGAGUCUUAACCGGGCGUUAAGUUGCAGGGUAUAGACCCGAAACCCGGUGAUCUAGCCAUGGGCAGGUUGAAGGUUGGGUAACACUAACUGGAGGACCGAACCGACUAAUGUUGAAAAAUUAGCGGAUGACCUGUGGCUGGGGGUGAAAGGCCAAUCAAACCGGGAGAUAGCUGGUUCUCCCCGAAAGCUAUUUAGGUAGCGCCUCGUGAAUUCAUCUCCGGGGGUAGAGCACUGUUUCGGCUAGGGGGCCAUCCCGGCUUACCAACCCGAUGCAAACUGCGAAUACCGGAGAAUGUUAUCACGGGAGACACACGGCGGGUGCUAACGUCCGUCGUGAAGAGGGAAACAACCCAGACCGCCAGCUAAGGUCCCAAAGUCAUGGUUAAGUGGGAAACGAUGUGGGAAGGCCCAGACAGCCAGGAUGUUGGCUUAGAAGCAGCCAUCAUUUAAAGAAAGCGUAAUAGCUCACUGGUCGAGUCGGCCUGCGCGGAAGAUGUAACGGGGCUAAACCAU
Molecule: ribosomal RNA, 726 nt
Filed under: Salmonella enterica subsp. enterica serovar Fresno
Lineage: Bacteria; Pseudomonadati; Pseudomonadota; Gammaproteobacteria; Enterobacterales; Enterobacteriaceae
Description: partial 23S ribosomal RNA
Rfam family: Bacterial large subunit ribosomal RNA
Source: RNAcentral